CCUACGGGUGGCUGCAGUGGGGAAUAUUGCACAAUGGGGGAAACUCUGAUGCAGCGACGCCGCGUGAGUGAAGAAGUAUUUCGGUAUGUAAAGCUCUAUCAGCAGGGAAGAAGAAAGACGGUAUCUGACUAUGAUACUCCGGCUAACUACGUGCCAGCACCCGCGGGAAUACGUAGGGGGCAAGCGUUAUCUGGAUUUACUGGGUGGAAAGGGGGCGUAGACGGCUGUGAAAGUCGGAAGGGAAAGCCCAGGGCUCAACCCUGGUACUGCUUUGGAAACUGUGGGGCUAGAGUGCAGGAGAGGAAAGUGGAAUUCCUAGUGUAGCGGUGAAAUGCGUAGAUAUUAGGAGGAACAUCAGUGGCGAAGGCGGCUUACUGGACAGUAACUGACGUUGAGGCUCGAAAGCGUGGGGAGCAAACAGGAUUAGAUACCCGUGUAGUC
This 441-nucleotide ribosomal RNA is filed under the name uncultured bacterium. RNAcentral's name for it is "partial 16S ribosomal RNA". It matches the Rfam family "Bacterial small subunit ribosomal RNA", at positions 338 to 795 of the family's 1533-position model. The record is from RNAcentral.